Molecule: non-coding RNA, 28 nt
Filed under: Rattus norvegicus (Norway rat)
Lineage: Eukaryota; Metazoa; Chordata; Mammalia; Rodentia; Muridae
Source: RNAcentral
UCAGAUUGUGUGAUACUGUGUAUGUGUG